GAUGAACGCUGGCGGCGUGCCUAAUACAUGCAAGUCGAGCGAACAGACGAGGAGCUUGCUCCUCUGACGUUAGCGGCGGACGGGUGAGUAACACGUGGAUAACCUACCUAUAAGACUGGGAUAACUUCGGGAAACCGGAGCUAAUACCGGAUAAUAUAUUGAACCGCAUGGUUCAAUAGUGAAAGACGGUUUUGCUGUCACUUAUAGAUGGAUCCGCGCCGCAUUAGCUAGUUGGUAAGGUAACGGCUUACCAAGGCAACGAUGCGUAGCCGACCUGAGAGGGUGAUCGGCCACACUGGAACUGAGACACGGUCCAGACUCCUACGGGAGGCAGCAGUAGGGAAUCUUCCGCAAUUGGCGAAAGCCUGACGGAGCAACGCCGCGUGAAUGAUGAAGGUCUUCGGAUCGUAAAACUCUGUUAUUAGGGAAGAACAAAUGUGUAAGUAACUAUGCACGUCUUGACGGUACCUAAUCAGAAAGCCACGGCUAACUACGUG
RNAcentral lists this ribosomal RNA (497 nucleotides) under uncultured bacterium. RNAcentral's name for it is "partial 16S ribosomal RNA". It matches the Rfam family "Bacterial small subunit ribosomal RNA", at positions 28 to 507 of the family's 1533-position model. The record is from RNAcentral.